Amphimedon queenslandica is the source of this 942-nucleotide long non-coding RNA. RefSeq lists it as uncharacterized. The transcript has 3 exons. NCBI's taxonomy places the organism in Eukaryota, Metazoa, Porifera, Demospongiae, Haplosclerida, Niphatidae. The record is from RefSeq and is a predicted model, not a curated record.
ACUGACUCAUGUACCUGUGUAUUUAACGGGAAGCCUUAUUACCUGGCAUUUGCUAGUCAAAAUAUAUUCAUAAUAAGUGCAACGCUAAAGCAACAUCUGAGUAAGAAUAGCCCACCUACAAUAAGCUAAGCUGACGUAAGACGGUAAAAUCCCAAUAACGCCCCAUUGUAAUGUAAACCAUGACAAACUGCCAAUCGAGCAGUCGGAAAUUUCUCGUUAAGACCAAAAUAGAAAUUAUGUCAUACAAAAACUUGCAAGUAUAAAAGAACCACACCUAACGUACACAAACAUUCAUUAAAUAUAUUGUGUCCUAAUAACUGACCAAAGUUCUUGAAAAUGUCUUACUUUAGUGUACCAAAAUGUGUUGACUGUGAACAGCGUCAUGCAACUGCAGAAUAUACAAAUGGUUCAUACUGCACAGAAUGUGCAGAAUUUCAACCAAAAAAAGGAUCCUGGGAAAGAAAUUACCGUGAAAUAAAGGAUAAUAAUUUUAGAAGUCCCUUCCCAGGUGAAGUAGUAUAUUGGUGUGAUUGCUGUAAACUUGGGGCUACAUCACUAAAUGGUGUCACUACACUAUUCUACAACUGUAGUCACAAAUUCCAAUUUUGCCUUCAAUGUGCUACAAAACACAAAGUAUGCCCCAAGGAUCCUGGAUUUGGAUUGAGUCAAGAAGGCUUAAGUCAACUACGCCAAGUUCUGUUAAAGAGAUAACAGUAAGGCAUUAUUGCCAGAAAACUCAUUGGAUUUUUUGGUUUUGCUUCUAUGAGAGCAUACAUAUAAAUUAAAAGUUGUUAGUAUUAACAGUUAAUUAAAUUGAGUGACAAAGAUUAAUUACUUGCUUAGUACAUAUUUUAGUACAUAUUUUUAGUACAUUGUAAUAUCAAUAUUAUUAUUAUUAUUAUUAAAAAAAUUAUGAUUUGAAAAGGCUACCAAGCUGCCAAC